CUCAAAAGUACUCAACACGUGACACGAGCUUCCAAUAACAACGGAUUUUGUGUUUGAGCAAUGCCAAGAAAACGCAAAGGGGCUGAUUUAAGCCGCAGUACAAGUAAAGCUCGAAACUUGCGAAAUAGAAGAUCCGAAAGAACAGAAGAACAAAUCUAGCAA
Molecule: long non-coding RNA, 162 nt
Organism: Cotesia glomerata
Lineage: Eukaryota; Metazoa; Arthropoda; Insecta; Hymenoptera; Braconidae
Exons: 2
Source: RefSeq, a predicted model, not a curated record